ACGGGUGCGUAACGCGUAUGCAAUCUGCCUUUCACAGAGGGAUAGCCCAGAGAAAUUUGGAUUAAUACCUCAUAGUAUUAUUGGGUGGCAUCACUUAAUAAUUAAAGUCACAACGGUGAAAGAUGAGCAUGCGUCCCAUUAGCUAGUUGGUAAGGUAACGGCUUACCAAGGCAACGAUGGGUAGGGGUCCUGAGAGGGAGAUCCCCCACACUGGUACUGAGACACGGACCAGACUCCUACGGGAGGCAGCAGUGAGGAAUAUUGGUCAAUGGACGCAAGUCUGAACCAGCCAUGCCGCGUGCAGGAUGACGGUCCUAUGGAUUGUAAACUGCUUUUGUACGAGAAGAAACAACAUUACGUGUAAUGUCUUGACGGUAUCGUAAGAAUAAGGAUCGGCUAACUCCGUGCCAGCAGCCGCGGUAAUACGGAGGAUCCAAGCGUUAUCCGGAAUCAUUGGGUUUAAAGGGUCCGUAGGCGGUUUAGUAAGUCAGUGGUGAAAGCCCAUCGCUCAACGGUGGAACGGCCAUUGAUACUGCUGAACUUGAAUUAUUAGGAAGUAACUAGAAUAUGUAGUGUAGCGGUGAAAU
RNAcentral lists this ribosomal RNA (587 nucleotides) under Flavobacterium sp. StRD466. RNAcentral describes it as "bacterial SSU rRNA". It matches the Rfam family "Bacterial small subunit ribosomal RNA", at positions 102 to 687 of the family's 1533-position model. The record is from RNAcentral. Lineage: Bacteria; Pseudomonadati; Bacteroidota; Flavobacteriia; Flavobacteriales; Flavobacteriaceae.